UACGUAGGGUGCGAGCGUUGUCCGGAAUUAUUGGGCGUAAAGAGCUUGUAGGCGGUCUGUCGCGUCUGCUGUGAAAAUCCGGGGCUCAACCCCGGACUUGCAGUGGAUACGGACAGACUAGAGGUAGGUAGGGGAGAAUGGAAUUCCCGGUGUAGCGGUGAAAUGCGCAGAUAUCGGGAGGAACACCGGUGGCGAAGGCGGUUCUCUGGGCCUUACCUGACGCUGAGGAGCGAAAGCGUGGGGAGCGAACAGG
Molecule: ribosomal RNA, 253 nt
Filed under: uncultured bacterium
Lineage: Bacteria
Description: partial 16S ribosomal RNA
Rfam family: Bacterial small subunit ribosomal RNA
Source: RNAcentral